AUGGAGUUCACCUCCGCGGAUAUCUUUCAGCACUCGCCCUUCGGUGACAUACUGAACUCAUUAAGGUCUCUCUCCCUAUCAGGAGAGUCCUGGCCGAACUAUGUUUGGCAGGAUUGGGAUGCGGAUGACGAAGAAAUUCGCCGCCCACCCACCACCCACUUAGUAGCCACCGUCGACAAUUUGACCGACAUGCUCGACUUCGAAUCCGAAGACAUCGACGGUAUGGACGACGAUGCGGGAGACGAAGAGGAACCACUGCCCACAGGGCAUUGGACAACCACCUCAUCAUAUGAUAUAUACAUGGUGGACACAUCCAAAGAAGGCAAUGGCGAUGAGACAGCGGAGGAUGACCCCUCCAAGAAGCAACCCAAGCGCCGGCGUCAGCGGCGCCACUCUAAGUCUCGCCAAAGCAAAAGCGGUGACACCGGCACAGGAGAUAACAACACUCCAGACAGUGCCGAAGACGACAACAAUCCCCUCCAGCAAGAUUUAGAGUAG
RNAcentral lists this ribosomal RNA (498 nucleotides) under Triticum aestivum (bread wheat). Its description in RNAcentral is "partial small subunit ribosomal RNA". The record is from RNAcentral. Lineage: Eukaryota; Viridiplantae; Streptophyta; Magnoliopsida; Poales; Poaceae.